Molecule: long non-coding RNA, 554 nt
Filed under: Polistes fuscatus (common paper wasp)
Lineage: Eukaryota; Metazoa; Arthropoda; Insecta; Hymenoptera; Vespidae
Description: uncharacterized LOC122518069
Source: RNAcentral
UUAAGAUUUUUAUUAGACAAAUUAUUAACAAGCUAAUUUUGAAAUGAAAUAAUGCUCAGUAUGUGAUAUUAAAUAGAGUGAUUCUAACGUAUGUAAUUUAAAAUAAUUAACACUUUUGGUAUUCUCGUAAUAUUCACAUUUGAAAGUUGACGUAUGUAAAAAAAAAAAGAAAAAAGAGAAAAGAAAAAAGAAAAAGAAAGAGAGAGAGAGAGGAGAGAGGUAAAUUUUCCUAAACGUAAAGCAGUAAAGUAAAAACGAUGAAAAGUACACGUUAAUAUUAGUUCGACAAUUUUGGGUUCCCUCUUCCCUUAUUUAAUUAACGAGAGUAUACUUCUUUCCUCUCUCUCUCUCUCUCUCUCUAUCUCUCUAUUACUCUGACUUUAUCGAAAAAUUUAACCUCCUUUUAGUCAUCUCAUUUCGUAAAUGUAUUUUCCUCUCUCUUUUCACAGUGACAUCUCCUCCAGCCAAAAGGACGAAUGGUUUGUGUAGAGGCAGGCCUGGACCAGAGCCCGCAGGGUGCAAAAGGAGCGGUGGUGCCCUCACCGCUUCCCCCA